GUGAUUGCCAUCUUGGCUUAAACUUAUAUCCAUCUACACCUGUGAACUGUUUGAUUGAAUCUUUACCGAUUCAAUUCUUUUACAAACAUUGUGUAAUGAACGUCAUUAGAUCAUAACAAAAA
Molecule: unclassified non-coding RNA, 122 nt
Filed under: uncultured Trichosporon
Lineage: Eukaryota; Fungi; Basidiomycota; Tremellomycetes
Description: sequence contains ITS1
Source: RNAcentral